ACUAAAAUAUUUACAAACUAAAACUAAAACUGAAGCGCCAUAAAAAGUAACCCCGAAGUUUCUAGAUUAAAAACCAUAAAAGAGUUGAAAACACGGUAAGAUAUUUCAUGAAAACUGUAUGUGUAUAUAUUUGCCUAUAAAAAUAUCAAAAGUUUUAUAAACUUGUAUAAAAUAAAAUAAAAAAGUGAACAAAACGAGAAUAGUCAUCGAUUGAUUUGUUUCCGGCGAUAAUAACGUAAAUCUGCUGAAUAAUUUUGUCAAUCCAUAUCCAUAUGUAUAUAAAUACCCAUAGAGACGUCUACAUAUUCACAAUAUAUAUAUAUAUAUAUAUAUAUAUAUAUAUAUAUAUAUAUAUAUAUGUACAGAAUUAGUAUAUGGUACAUAGAUGGUAGUCAUCAAUCGCAGUUCUCCCACUAUGUAUAACCUGUAAGCCCUCGGAUCAAUACAAUCAGCAAUGCUGAAAAAUAUUUACUGGCACUUUGAAUCCCACUAUUGUCGCUAAAAUUUAAUCAGUCAAUUAUUCUGUUUUAGGUAACAAGGAGCAUCAUUAUUAUUAUUGUUAUUAUUAAAAUUAUUAUUAUGAAUUUGAAGAAGAUGAAAACAAAGGAGUGAAAAUAAUGAGGAGGAAAAAGUAUGAGUAAGCCGGAGGCGAAAAAAAAGCAUCUGAGAGUUUUCUUAGUCAUCCCGUCACGUGUGUGUAGAGCUAUAGAUGGAGGUGUUAUAUUAGAAGUGGGUUGCAGAUGAGCUGAAGUUCCUUCUAUUGGGAUUGGAAUUGGGAGCGAAGAGAAGAAGACUAGACGGAGUCUGAAGGAGAAGUCGAUGAAAUGGAUGGGAGCUGCUAGCAGAGAAGCUAGAUAAAAUCGAAUGGAAGGAAAGAAGGUUUAUGGAUUAUGGAUUGGCUGUGGAUCCUACAGUAUGGCCAGAAGAGGUGAGAAGGAAAUUGAGAAUUAAGAAACAAGGAACGAAGAGUCAAGCAUGCGCAUAAGAGCAUGGGGACAUACAGGUGCUGGCAGCAGACGGCACUCGGUGAGACUAAGAUCCCUCAAUAUUAACGCGUAUGUGUCGCCGACAGGUGGCAAUGUUAACGUGUGCCCAAUUGCUCGGGUUUUAUAUUAAAAUAAAAAAACUUGAGAGGUGUCAAGGGACACCCGGAUGGAACGAAGUUCCUUUCGAUUUAUUAGUAAAGGAAUUGUAAUAAAAUUUUAUUUUAUUUAGAAAGAAGAAACGAAAAUAACCCUGAUAGCUAUCCAAUCGUAAAAGUUAACGUUAAAAUGCAAUCCAACUUAUGCACAAUCUAGUGCCGGAAAUUCACUUUAACUUUUCUCAAUAUCUUGUAGUACAAGUCUUAAUAUGAACUUUUAGUGAAGUUGGACAAAACACUUAUUGAUAUGGCAGAUUAUCAGAAUUUGUCUCUUUUUUACAUCGGUAGGUAAUUUAUCGGUAAAAAAACGAAGCACAGUAAAAAUUUUUUACCACCCCGCACGGAAAAAGUAUAUAUUCUGGAAUAUAUUCUGAAAUAUAUUCUAGAAUAUAUCCGAGAAUAUAUUCCGAAUAUAACCCGUUUUGCCCAAGGAAUAUAUUCCGGAAUAUAUGGGCAUGCACUCACUUGUAUUCCGUUUUACUCCAAAUUUUUCUCUGGUCUGUCGUCAGAUCUAUGGUCUGAUCCAUCGUAUAUAUACUGAAUAUAUUAUAUACUUUUGAAAUAUAUUCCUUGGGUAAAACGGGCUAUAUCCGGAAUAUAUUUAGAAUAUAUUCUCGGAUAUAUUCUAGAAUAUAUACUAGAAUAUAUACUUUUUCCGUGGGGGACGUACAUAAUAAAAAAAACAAUAUUAUAUAGUUCGACCGGGGAGUCGAACCCGGGUAGAUUGGUUACGAGGCAAGCUCUCUACCAGAUGAGCUAUCCGAGAUGCUUGACGCGAAUGCAACUUUAGUCACUUAUUUCUGACAUAUUAUUUCUAUAAUGUACUAGCUGACCCGGUGAGCUUUGUAUCACCUACAAUAUAUUUUGUUACACCUUUCGAUCAGCGAUUAUCAAUCUUUAAACUCUAACCUACUUCGAUAAAUGAACUUUCGGGUUUUAUAAAAAUUUUUCUAAACCAUCCCUGAACUAUAGCGAACAAAACAAAAAAAAAUUUUUGAAAA
RNAcentral lists this long non-coding RNA (2142 nucleotides) under Cotesia glomerata. RNAcentral's name for it is "uncharacterized LOC123270584". Lineage: Eukaryota; Metazoa; Arthropoda; Insecta; Hymenoptera; Braconidae. The record is from RNAcentral.